GGCUCAGGACGAACGCUGGCGGCGUGCCUAAUACAUGCAAGUCGAGCGGACAGAUGGGAGCUUGCUCCCUGAUGUUAGCGGCGGACGGGUGAGUAACACGUGGGUAACCUGCCUGUAAGACUGGGAUAACUCCGGGAAACCGGGGCUAAUACCGGAUGGUUGUUUGAACCGCAUGGUUCAGACAUAAAAGGUGGCUUCGGCUACCACUUACAGAUGGACCCGCGGCGCAUUAGCUAGUUGGUGAGGUAACGGCUCACCAAGGCGACGAUGCGUAGCCGACCUGAGAGGGUGAUCGGCCACACUGGGACUGAGACACGGCCCAGACUCCUACGGGAGGCAGCAGUAGGGAAUCUUCCGCAAUGGACGAAAGUCUGACGGAGCAACGCCGCGUGAGUGAUGAAGGUUUUCGGAUCGUAAAGCUCUGUUGUUAGGGAAGAACAAGUGCCGUUCAAAUAGGGCGGCACCUUGACGGUACCUAACCAGAAAGCCACGGCUAACUACGUGCCAGCAGCCGCGGUAAUACGUAGGUGGCAAGCGUUGUCCGGAAUUAUUGGGCGUAAAGGGCUCGCAGGCGGUUUCUUAAGUCUGAUGUGAAAGCCCCCGGCUCAACCGGGGAGGGUCAUUGGAAACUGGGGAACUUGAGUGCAGAAGAGGAGAGUGGAAUUCCACGUGUAGCGGUGAAAUGCGUAGAGAUGUGGAGGAACACCAGUGGCGAAGGCGACUCUCUGGUCUGUAACUGACGCUGAGGAGCGAAAGCGUGGGGAGCGAACAGGAUUAGAUACCCUGGUAGUCCACGCCGUAAACGAUGAGUGCUAAGUGUUAGGGGGUUUCCGCCCCUUAGUGCUGCAGCUAACGCAUUAAGCACUCCGCCUGGGGAGUACGGUCGCAAGACUGAAACUCAAAGGAAUUGACGGGGGCCCGCACAAGCGGUGGAGCAUGUGGUUUAAUUCGAAGCAACGCGAAGAACCUUACCAGGUCUUGACAUCCUCUGACAAUCCUAGAGAUAGGACGUCCCCUUCGGGGGCAGAGUGACAGGUGGUGCAUGGUUGUCGUCAGCUCGUGUCGUGAGAUGUUGGGUUAAGUCCCGCAACGAGCGCAACCCUUGAUCUUAGUUGCCAGCAUUCAGUUGGGCACUCUAAGGUGACUGCCGGUGACAAACCGGAGGAAGGUGGGGAUGACGUCAAAUCAUCAUGCCCCUUAUGACCUGGGCUACACACGUGCUACAAUGGACAGAACAAAGGGCAGCGAAACCGCGAGGUUAAGCCAAUCCCACAAAUCUGUUCUCAGUUCGGAUCGCAGUCUGCAACUCGACUGCGUGAAGCUGGAAUCGCUAGUAAUCGCGGAUCAGCAUGCC
Molecule: ribosomal RNA, 1354 nt
Filed under: Bacillus amyloliquefaciens
Lineage: Bacteria; Bacillati; Bacillota; Bacilli; Caryophanales; Bacillaceae
Description: bacterial SSU rRNA
Rfam family: Bacterial small subunit ribosomal RNA
Source: RNAcentral